Long non-coding RNA from Vespula vulgaris, 781 nucleotides. RefSeq lists it as uncharacterized. The transcript has 3 exons. Lineage: Eukaryota; Metazoa; Arthropoda; Insecta; Hymenoptera; Vespidae. The record is from RefSeq and is a predicted model, not a curated record.
UUGAAAAUGAAAGUCGAGAUUCCACGGAGGGAUCUUUCGCAAUCGGCCGCUCCGCUUGCUUAGAAAGGCAUUGGCGGAGGCCCCUUUAAGUGGACAAACGUCUCACUUCGAUGAAAAAUCAACGCGACUGCGACCGAAAAACUCGUUUCGUUUCUUUCCGAGGACAAAGACGAGAACGAGCAAAGGUACGCGCGAUACCUACCCAAGAGAGAGAGAGAGAGAGAGGAAAAGAGUAGUCCAGAGGACUUCGCACGCACACACGUUACGCACGAUCCAGCGGAACCACUUUCUCCGAGUUCGAGCAACCGUCCUUGGCAAACUAAACUGGAUUCGUUUUAGCUCACAUUUCUCCGGAUUUAUCCUUCCCGAUUGGAAAUCGGUCUCUUCGCAUAUGCAUCCAACACCAUUACCAUCAGUACCAUCUCGGGAACAACAUCCGUGGUUGCAUAUCCAGAGCUUCAGGAUUAUCAAGUGGGAGCUAGCAAGAGCAAGAGGCCUUCCUUCUAUCGUCGGCACCGAUGCUUUCGCCAAACGCCAUGUAGGACGUUUGUGAAUUAUGCCAUCGUGCUGAAACGCGUAAGUACACACACACACACAUCGACAGGAAUGUCCUCCUUGAAGACACAUUCACAAUCUCGGUCAUAGUUCGUGCAAGAAGGGUGAUUAUGCUCAGCGACACUGAACCUCUCUCUCUCUCUCUCUCUUUUCUCGAUCUUCCUCAUCCUCCUCCUUCUUCUCCUCCUGCUGCUCUAUUGGAACCUUCGCCAAAGUUCCGCUUAAA